GAUGAACGCUGACAGAAUGCUUAACACAUGCAAGUCAACUGUGGCGGACGGGUGAGUAACGCGUAAAGAACUUGCCUCACAGAUAGGGACAACAUUUGGAAACGAAUGAUACUACCUGAUACUGUGAGAGAGCUUUGCGUCCCAUUAGCUAGUUGGAGAGGUAACGGCUCACCAAGGCGAUGAUGGGUAGCCGGCCUGAGAGGGUGAUCGGCCACAAGGGGACUGAGACACGGCCCUUACUCCGACGUGAGGCAGCAGUGGGGAAUAUUGGACAAUUGACCAAAGUCUGAUCCAGCAAUUCUGUGUGCACGAUGAAGUUUUCGGAAUGUAAAGUGCUUUCAGUUUGUAAGCGGUACCAACAGAAGAAGUGACGGCUAAAUACGUGCCAGCAGCCGCGGUAAUAC
This 404-nucleotide ribosomal RNA is filed under the name uncultured bacterium. RNAcentral's name for it is "partial 16S ribosomal RNA". It matches the Rfam family "Bacterial small subunit ribosomal RNA", at positions 28 to 526 of the family's 1533-position model. The record is from RNAcentral.